RNAcentral lists this ribosomal RNA (257 nucleotides) under uncultured bacterium. Its description in RNAcentral is "partial 16S ribosomal RNA". It matches the Rfam family "Bacterial small subunit ribosomal RNA", at positions 524 to 776 of the family's 1533-position model. The record is from RNAcentral.
GACGAAGGGGGGCUAGCGUUGUUCGGAAUUACUGGGCGUAAAGCGCGCGUAGGCGGUCUUUCAAGUCAGGAGUGAAAGCCCCGGGCUCAACCCGGGAAUAGCUCUUGAUACUGUUGGACUUGAGUCCGGGAGAGGAUAGUGGAAUUCCCAGUGUAGAGGUGAAAUUCGUAGAUAUUGGGAAGAACACCAGUGGCGAAGGGCGGCUAUCUGGACCGGUACUGACGCUGAGGCGCGAAAAGCGUGGGGGAGCAAACAGG